RNAcentral lists this ribosomal RNA (253 nucleotides) under uncultured bacterium. RNAcentral describes it as "partial 16S ribosomal RNA". It matches the Rfam family "Bacterial small subunit ribosomal RNA", at positions 524 to 776 of the family's 1533-position model. The record is from RNAcentral.
UACGUAGGGUGCAAGCGUUGUCCGGAAUUAUUGGGCGUAAAGAGCUCGUAGGCGGUCUGUCGCGUCGGCUGUGAAAACCCGGGGCUCAACCCCGGACCUGCAGUGGGUACGGGCAGACUAGAGUGCGGUAGGGGAGAUCGGAAUUCCUGGUGUAGCGGUGAAAUGCGCAGAUAUCAGGAGGAACACCAAUGGCGAAGGCAGAUCUCUGGGCCGUAACUGACGCUGAGGAGCGAAAGCGUGGGGAGCGAACAGG